RNAcentral lists this microRNA precursor (87 nucleotides) under Paramuricea clavata. Lineage: Eukaryota; Metazoa; Cnidaria; Anthozoa; Malacalcyonacea; Plexauridae. The record is from RNAcentral.
UUAAGACUAUAGUCAUGACUAUUAAGACUAUAGUCAUGACUGUAAUCUUAAUAGUCAUGACUAUAGUCUUAAUAGUCAUGACCAUAG